UACGUAGGGGGCGAGCGUUGUCCGGAUUUAUUGGGCGUAAAGAGCUCGUAGGCGGUUUGGUAAGUCGGAUGUGAAAUCUCCAGGCUCAACCUGGAGGGGUCAUUCGAUACUGCCAUGACUAGAGUUCGGUAGGGGUGUGUGGAAUUCCUGGUGGAGCGGUGAAAUGCGCAGAUAUCAGGAAGAACACCCGUGGCGAAGGCGGUUCUCUGGGACGGUACUGACGCUGAGACGCGAAAGCGUGGGGAGCGAACAGG
This 254-nucleotide ribosomal RNA is filed under the name uncultured bacterium. RNAcentral's name for it is "partial 16S ribosomal RNA". It matches the Rfam family "Bacterial small subunit ribosomal RNA", at positions 524 to 776 of the family's 1533-position model. The record is from RNAcentral.